Beta vulgaris subsp. vulgaris (sugar beet) is the source of this 1593-nucleotide long non-coding RNA. RefSeq lists it as uncharacterized. Lineage: Eukaryota; Viridiplantae; Streptophyta; Magnoliopsida; Caryophyllales; Amaranthaceae. The transcript has 4 exons. The record is from RefSeq and is a predicted model, not a curated record.
ACUUAUCCAUUAAUUGCUCAUCAUUCUCUUGAACAUGAAUAAUUAGCUUUACUGAUGUUAAUUAUUGAAUUAAUUUUAACCCAAAAAAAAGUUGAAGGGUUGGGAAACUUUUUUGUCUUUUCAAAAUUUAUUUGUUAAUUAAGUUGUGUUUGGAUUAGAUUAAAAGCAAGAAUUUGAUGUUGGUUUGAAGCUGAUUUGUUUGAUCGUUCAAAUGCAAAAACUAAGAUGUGGGUGUUCUGUUUUUUUUUUUUCUGGUUUUUCUCAAAAAUUGAUUUUUUUGCUGUCAGUUUAGGACGUGCUGGUGAAGUUCAAAUGCAAAUUGAUUUUUUUUGUUGCCGGUGAAGGUCAAAUGCAAAUUAUUUUUUUUGUUGGUGGUGAAGUUCAAAUGCAGAAGUCCUGAUUUUCCUAUGCACUUGACUAAUGACUUCUCCUCACUUUUUCGCGAAAUCUUUUGCAAACCAAUAAUGGCGAAUUGGUACAUACAAGUGGUAUACUUUAAGGCUAAUUUAACAAAACUAGGUAGCAAAUUUCCUUCUUGUACCUUGAAUCAAGUAAUGAAAAUUUAAGUGAUUCAUAAAUCAUAAUAGUAGCUAGGCCUAGGCUAAACCAUCUCCUAUGUUAAAUAACUUCUUUCGUUGGGAGCUAUCUUAUAAUGCAAAAGCAUCUUCCACUAGAAGCACAUGAUGCAUACUUGAAGUGAAAUUGAUUUUCUUUUUUGCCUUUGAUUCUCAAGUAUUUCACUAGUGCUUAGUUUCCUGGAAAAGCAGUAAAUGGUUCUAUUUAAAUGGCUCUUUUAAUUGCACUUGAAGUGAAAUUUGUUUUCAUAGAAAUGAUAGUUUGGUACUUUCAUCUAUUUACCUAUUGGUGUAAAUGGUUCUAGAUAGAGUGUAUUUGAAGCAUAAUCUAGAAUGAGUUUGAAGUUUCUUGAUCUAGCUUGAGGAGUGGGGAAGACAUUUUGUUCUGCUGCUAUAUACUGGUAUCUACGACGAGGACUUGGCGGCAGCUCCUUCACAUGCUGCAGAGGAAAAGAUUGGGGUGCUCCUUUUAAAUCUUGGAGGACCUGAAACUCUUAAUGACGUCCAGCCGUUCUUGUUUAAUCUAUUUGUUAACCCAGAUAUCAUUCGCCUUCCGAUGCUGUUCCAUUUUCUGCAAAGACCUGUGGCUCAAUUGAUCUCUAUGCUUAGAGCCCCUAAAAGCAAAGGAUACGCUUCAAUAGGAGGGGUUCACCUUUGCAAAAGAUAACUGAUGAGCAGGCAAAUGCACUUUUGUCAUUAGAAGCAAAGAACAAGAAUGUAUCUGUCAAUGUUGGCCUGAGAUACUGGUUCCCGUUUACAGGGAAGCAGUUCAGCAGGGAGGCUUUGAAAAAUCUGGGCUACAAUGCAUCUACAGUAUGAAGCAGAGCAAUUGCCUACACCUAGCUGCUGCCCACGAGCUGUCACAGGCCACAAGCUGUUGCUGCCACAGGCCACAAGCUGUUGUUCAGCAAGAGUACUAAAAGAUACAUGAUUUUGUAACUCUCUUUAUUUGUAUUAAAACAUAAUUUACAAUGAAAAAUGAUAAUUUUAUAUGUGUAUAACAAUUUGGAUAAUUUAG